This 503-nucleotide ribosomal RNA is filed under the name Wenyingozyma ramenticola. RNAcentral describes it as "Ogataea ramenticola partial small subunit ribosomal RNA". The stretch from base 217 to 496 matches the Rfam family "Bacterial small subunit ribosomal RNA", at positions 557 to 873 of the family's 1533-position model. The record is from RNAcentral. Lineage: Eukaryota; Fungi; Ascomycota; Pichiomycetes; Pichiales; Pichiaceae.
CUAACGAUUGAUCUAGUUACUUAGAAAGAUGAAAGAUUAAAAAUAUAUAAUAAUUUAAUAUAAAUUAAAAAAUUAUAUAAAAAAAGAGAAUAUAAUCAAUGAAGAAUAUAAAGUCUAUAUUUAUAUCAAUGAAUAAUGAUCGAUAUAAAAUAAGUCUUGACCAAAAAGAGUGCCAGCAGUAGCGGUUAAACUCUGGAGGCGAACGUUAAUAAUUAAGGCUUAAAGAAUCCGCAGAAUGUAUUCUAAAAUUAAAAUUUUUUUUAAUUUAAAAAAGAGAAUAUAGUGUUUAAGAGAAAGAUUAAGGAAUUAUUUAAGGAGCGAUGAAAUGUGAAGAAAGAAAUAAGACGGAUAUAAAUUGAAGAUAUUAAUCAAAACUUAAACAGACAUUGAGAGGAUGAGAGCUUGAGGAGUAAACGGGAUUAGAUACCCCAUUAAUUCAAGCCGUCAACUAUGAGUACUAAGAAAGAAAUUAAAAGCGAAGGCUAAGUAUUCCGCCAGGUGAG